Transfer RNA from Gossypium arboreum, 72 nucleotides. It matches the Rfam family "tRNA". From Rfam's summary of the family: Transfer RNA (tRNA) molecules are approximately 80 nucleotides in length. Their secondary structure includes four short double-helical elements and three loops (D, anti-codon, and T loops). NCBI's taxonomy places the organism in Eukaryota, Viridiplantae, Streptophyta, Magnoliopsida, Malvales, Malvaceae. The record is from Rfam.
UGGGGUGUGGCCAAGUGGUAAGGCAAUGGGUUUUGGUCCCGUUAUGCGGAGGUUCCAAUCCUUCCAUCCCAG